CUGCUGCCUCCCGUAGGAGUUUGGGCCGUGUCUCAGUCCCAAUGUGGCCGUCCACCCUCUCAGGCCGGCUACUGAUCGUCGCCUUGGUGGGCCUUUACCCCGCCAACCAGCUAAUCAGACGCGGGUCCAUCCCAUACCACCUUGGUUUCCAAACAAAAAGCAUGCGCUUUCUGUUGUUAUGCGGUAUUAGCACCUAUUUCUAAGUGUUAUCCCCCUGUAUGGGCCAGGUUACCCACGCGUUACUCACCCGUCCGCCACUAAGCCUUUCCCUUUUCCG
RNAcentral lists this ribosomal RNA (277 nucleotides) under uncultured bacterium. RNAcentral describes it as "partial 16S ribosomal RNA". The record is from RNAcentral.